GCCUACUUAAUUGUAAGUCGUUUACUUUUAAAAAAGAGAAAUUAGGAUAAAUAUACACAUUUCACACCAAUAUUAAGAAACUACCCUAUCCCUGUUUUGUGCACUGUGCAAUUUUGAUUAAUACCAUUUUACCCCUAAUCUCUAAUGAUGCUACAAAAUCCUAUCGAAAGAUACGAAUUUAUCUCAAGUACAUGUAUAUUGAAAAAGAGAAAAUAGUAAAAGAAAGAAAUAUGGGAGACACCAAAGAGAGAGAUACGAUAGAGAAAACAAAUGACAGGAGGAAGAAAGAAAGAAGAAGACAGUCGGUGCGGAGGUGGUGAUAGGGGCGGAGGAGACGGUAUACUGGGAAGCGAUGGUAAGCGCCACAGACGGUACAUCAACUCGCUUCCAAUGGUGACUCCUUCACUUCCUUUACCAUCACCACCUCUGGCAACAUGAAUCCUAGAUAAUUGCAUCAUGUUCCUAUCACUGCACCAAGUCUAUUUCUCGUCUCCUUCCUGUUUCUCGGCUUAUAUGUUAUUUGGUUAUGAACACGCUUAUGUUCUCCCUGGUGCUGCAAGGGAGCUAGCCACAACGAUGUAUCAAGAUCUGGCUACUGGUUAACCAAAAUUGGAUGUCCCUAUGCUACGGAUAGUGUCCUAUGGUUACCCUUCUCUGUGUUGGAUUUCCUUUGUUGAACCAUCUAUGUUUUAACCCACUUUUUGUAUUAUAUUGUCAUGUCUUAAACAUUUAUUGACAUUGCUAUCUAUAACUUCUAUUAA
Brassica napus (rape) is the source of this 761-nucleotide long non-coding RNA. RefSeq lists it as uncharacterized. The transcript is spliced from 2 exons. The record is from RefSeq and is a predicted model, not a curated record. Lineage: Eukaryota; Viridiplantae; Streptophyta; Magnoliopsida; Brassicales; Brassicaceae.